AGUGGGGAAUAUUGGGCAAUGGAGGCAACUCUGACCCAGCAACGCUGCGUGAGGGAAGAAGGUUUUCGGAUUGUAAACCUCUGUCCUAGGGGACGAAGAAAGUGACGGUACCCUAGGAGGAAGCCCCGGCUAACUACGUGCCAGCAGCCGCGGUAAUACGUAGGGGGCGAGCGUUGUCCGGAAUUACUGGGCGUAAAGGGUGCGUAGGCGGUUUGGUAAGUUAGAUGUGAAAUCCCCGGGCUUAACUCGGGAGUUGCAUUUAAAACUGCUGAACUAGAGUGCAGGAGAGGAAAGCGGAAUUCCUAGUGUAGCGGUGAAAUGCGUAGAUAUUAGGAGGAACACCAGUGGCGAAGGCGGCUUUCUGGACUGUAACUGACGCUGAGGCACGAAAGCGUGGGGAGCGAACAGGAUUAGAUACCCUGGUAGUCCACGCCGUAAACGAUGGAUACUAGGUGUAGGGAUCUAAGAAGGUCUCUGUGCCGCAGCAAACGCAAUAAGUAUCCCGCCUGGGGAGUACGACCGCAAGGUUG
This 530-nucleotide ribosomal RNA is filed under the name uncultured bacterium. RNAcentral describes it as "bacterial SSU rRNA". It matches the Rfam family "Bacterial small subunit ribosomal RNA", at positions 353 to 896 of the family's 1533-position model. The record is from RNAcentral.